RNAcentral lists this long non-coding RNA (480 nucleotides) under Cyclopterus lumpus (lumpfish). Its description in RNAcentral is "lncRNA (ENSCLMG00005000014.1)". The record is from RNAcentral. Lineage: Eukaryota; Metazoa; Chordata; Actinopteri; Perciformes; Cyclopteridae.
GAUCUCAAGGACACUAUUGUUGCUCUCAUCAGGAGCACCAGUCAACGGUAAAUACUGACUGACACUCAAAGAUGCCCCUAAAGUGACUUUUACUUUAAAGGCUGGGGGUGUAAUCUCCAUAUUUAAUGAUUUCCAUAGGUGUCAUUCUUUAUGACCGGGCCCAGUAGGAGGCGCCGUCGUGACCUCCGUGCUAGCUCCUUUGAGGACUACAAAGACCUGGCUUUGGCCUCUGGAGGCCAGGCCAUCCAGGUUUCAAAGAGUCAGUUGCCUCAGGCCACAGACGUCAUCCUUGACACCUCUACUUCAGCUCUGGUGACAGUUCUUCAGCGAGCAAGGAACCCUGGGCAGAAGGAGACUUUCCCCUUCAUGUUGGAUGAAUCUCUGAAAAAUAAUCACCAUCUACAUCACAGGACAAUCCAUUACUUUCACGCUGACCAACCCUGCAGGUGUGAGCCAGAAGCACAACGAAGCCAGCGGUAA